RNAcentral lists this non-coding RNA (29 nucleotides) under Homo sapiens (human). Lineage: Eukaryota; Metazoa; Chordata; Mammalia; Primates; Hominidae. The record is from RNAcentral.
AAGGAGACGGUGGACGGAAUCUGACCAGG